GACGAACGCUGGCGGCGUGCUUAAUACAUGCAAGUCGAGCGAGGCCCAUCCAGUGGCAACACUGGGGAAGGCCGAGCGGCGAACGGGUGAGUAACACGUGAGCAACCUGCCCCGAAGUCUGGAAUAACAUCGGGAAACCGGUGCUAAUACCGGAUUGCCCCACCUGACCGCAUGAUCGGGUGAGGAAAGAUUUAUCGCUUCGGGAGGGGCUCGCGGCCUAUCAGCUAGUUGGCGGGGUAACGGCCCACCAAGGCGUCGACGGGUAGCUGGUCUGAGAGGACGACCAGCCACACUGGGACUGAGACACGGCCCAGACUCCUACGGGAGGCAGCAGUAGGGAAUCUUGCGCAAUGGGCGAAAGCCUGACGCAGCAACGCCGC
RNAcentral lists this ribosomal RNA (380 nucleotides) under uncultured bacterium. RNAcentral describes it as "partial 16S ribosomal RNA". It matches the Rfam family "Bacterial small subunit ribosomal RNA", at positions 28 to 400 of the family's 1533-position model. The record is from RNAcentral.